RNAcentral lists this long non-coding RNA (349 nucleotides) under Ananas comosus (pineapple). RNAcentral's name for it is "long non-coding RNA (ACOM_LNC003933)". Lineage: Eukaryota; Viridiplantae; Streptophyta; Magnoliopsida; Poales; Bromeliaceae. The record is from RNAcentral.
AAGAACACGAGAAAAAAAAAAGGAGAGAAAAAAAGGUAUAAGGAUAUUUUGGUCAAUUUGUUGAAAAUCCGGACCGAAUCUGCAAAUCGAAAAAGACAGUCUAGUUUUGCAAAAGCUCAAAACUUGUGGAUUUUUCAUGCAAAUUGGCCAUAUUUUUUACUAUGAAAGACAUGAUGAGAGUUGAGCUGCAAUGCUAUCAAUAGCAAUACGCUGCCACCCAUUUAUUUUUGAUGAUAAAACCUCCAAAUCGACGAUUAAUAUUAUUGAAUAUAAUCUAUACCACUUGAAAUAUCUAAAAAUUAAAUUUCAAAUAUUUUCGAUGGUGUGAGUUUGUAUAGGAUCAAUUGGU